Molecule: ribosomal RNA, 403 nt
Filed under: bacterium
Lineage: Bacteria
Description: partial 16S ribosomal RNA
Rfam family: Bacterial small subunit ribosomal RNA
Source: RNAcentral
UGGGGAAUAUUGCACAAUGGAGGGAACUCUGAUGCAGCGACGCCGCGUGAACCAAGAAGGCUUUCGAGUCGUAAAGUUCUUUUAUAUGGGAAGAUAAUGACGGUACCAUAAGAAAAAGCCCCGGCUAACUACGUGCCAGCAGCCGCGGUAAUACGUAGGGGGCUAGCGUUGUCCGGAAUCACUGGGCGUAAAGGGUUCGCAGGCGGAAAUGCAAGUCAGGUGUAAAAGGCAGUAGCUUAACUACUGUAAGCAUUUGAAACUGCAUAUCUUGAGAAGAGUAGAGGUAAGUGGAAUUUUUAGUGUAGCGGUGAAAUGCGUAGAUAUUAAAAAGAAUACCGGUGGCGAAGGCGGCUUACUGGGCUCAUUCUGACGCUGAGGAACGAAAGCGUGGGUAGCAAACAGG